This 1227-nucleotide long non-coding RNA is filed under the name Equus caballus (horse). Its description in RNAcentral is "lncRNA (ENSECAG00000043842.1)". The record is from RNAcentral. Lineage: Eukaryota; Metazoa; Chordata; Mammalia; Perissodactyla; Equidae.
CAAUCACUACAGCAAAUGGCUUCCGACACGAACAAGCCUGGAUUUGCCUAAACAUCUGGGCCUCUUUGUAGACUUAGGUCAAUGACCCUGCUCGCCAGGGCCAGUAGGGGCAGCUUCUGCAGCUGCCGAUGUGUGCUCAGAACCAGUGUCCUGGGGCCGGCCCAUGGCCGAGUGGUUAAGUUCACACGUUCUGCUUCGGCGGCCCAGGGUUUCACUGGUUCGGAUCCUGGGCGCGGACAUGGCGCCACUCAUCAAGCCAUGCUGAGGCAGCAUCCCCCAUGCCACAACUAGAAGGACCUGCAACUAAGAUACACAAGCAAAGGCAACAAAAGCAAAAAUAAACAAAUGGGACUACAUCAAACUAAAAAGCUUUUACACAGUGAAGGAAACCAUUAUCAAAAUGAAAAGACAACCUACUGGAUGGGAGAAGAUAUUUGUAAAUGAUAUGUCCAAUCAGCGGUUAAUAUCCAAAAAUAUAUAAAGAACUCAUACAAUUCAGUAUCAAAAAACCAAACAAUCUGAUUAAAAAACAGGCAGAGGAUCUGAAAAGACGUUUUUCCAAAGAAGACAUACAGAUGGCCAACAGACACAAGAAAAGAUGCUCAACAUCGCUAAUCAUCAAGGAAAUGCAAAUCAAAACCACAAUGAGAUAUCACCUCACAUUUGUCUGAAUGGCUAUUAUCAAAAACACAACAAAUAACAAGUGUUGGUGAAGAUGUGGAAAAGAGGGAACCUUUGUACAGUGUUGGUGGAAAUGUAAAUUGGUGCAGCCACUAUGUGAAACAGUAUGGAGAUUCCUCAAAAAAUAAAAAAUAGAACUAUCAUAUGAUCCAGCAAUUCCAUUUCUGGGUAUUUAUCCAAAGAAAAUGAAAACUCUAAUUUGAAAAGAUACAUGCACUAUGUCCCUUGCAGCAUUACUCACAAUAGCCAAGACAUGGAAACAACCUAAGUGUUCAACAAGGGAAGAACGGAUAAAGAAGACGUGAUGUACAUAUAUACAAUGGAAUACAACUCAGCCAUGAAAAGAUGAAUCCUGCCAUUUACAACAACAUGGAUGGAUUUAGAGGGUAUUAUGCUAAGUGAAAUAAGUAAGACAGAGAAAGACAAAUACCAUAUGAAUUCACUUAUAUGUGGAAUCUAAAAAACAAAACAAACAAAGAAACAAAACAAAAUAGAAAUAAACUCAUAGAUACAGAGAACAAACUGGGGGCUGCCAGAGGGAAGGGG